This 1393-nucleotide ribosomal RNA is filed under the name Microbacterium sp. YNA115. Its description in RNAcentral is "16S ribosomal RNA". It matches the Rfam family "Bacterial small subunit ribosomal RNA". The record is from RNAcentral. Lineage: Bacteria; Bacillati; Actinomycetota; Actinomycetes; Micrococcales; Microbacteriaceae.
AGUCGAACGGUGAAGCCAAGCUUGCUUGGUGGAUCAGUGGCGAACGGGUGAGUAACACGUGAGCAACCUGCCCUGGACUCUGGGAUAAGCGCUGGAAACGGCGUCUAAUACUGGAUAUGAGACGUGAUCGCAUGGUCGUGUUUGGAAAGAUUUUUCGGUCUGGGAUGGGCUCGCGGCCUAUCAGCUUGUUGGUGAGGUAAUGGCUCACCAAGGCGUCGACGGGUAGCCGGCCUGAGAGGGUGACCGGCCACACUGGGACUGAGACACGGCCCAGACUCCUACGGGAGGCAGCAGUGGGGAAUAUUGCACAAUGGGCGGAAGCCUGAUGCAGCAACGCCGCGUGAGGGAUGACGGCCUUCGGGUUGUAAACCUCUUUUAGCAGGGAAGAAGCGAAAGUGACGGUACCUGCAGAAAAAGCGCCGGCUAACUACGUGCCAGCAGCCGCGGUAAUACGUAGGGCGCAAGCGUUAUCCGGAAUUAUUGGGCGUAAAGAGCUCGUAGGCGGUUUGUCGCGUCUGCUGUGAAAUCCCGAGGCUCAACCUCGGGCUUGCAGUGGGUACGGGCAGACUAGAGUGCGGUAGGGGAGAUUGGAAUUCCUGGUGUAGCGGUGGAAUGCGCAGAUAUCAGGAGGAACACCGAUGGCGAAGGCAGAUCUCUGGGCCGUAACUGACGCUGAGGAGCGAAAGGGUGGGGAGCAAACAGGCUUAGAUACCCUGGUAGUCCACCCCGUAAACGUUGGGAACUAGUUGUGGGGACCAUUCCACGGUUUCCGUGACGCAGCUAACGCAUUAAGUUCCCCGCCUGGGGAGUACGGCCGCAAGGCUAAAACUCAAAGGAAUUGACGGGGACCCGCACAAGCGGCGGAGCAUGCGGAUUAAUUCGAUGCAACGCGAAGAACCUUACCAAGGCUUGACAUACACCAGAACACCGUAGAAAUACGGGACUCUUUGGACACUGGUGAACAGGUGGUGCAUGGUUGUCGUCAGCUCGUGUCGUGAGAUGUUGGGUUAAGUCCCGCAACGAGCGCAACCCUCGUUCUAUGUUGCCAGCACGUAAUGGUGGGAACUCAUGGGAUACUGCCGGGGUCAACUCGGAGGAAGGUGGGGAUGACGUCAAAUCAUCAUGCCCCUUAUGUCUUGGGCUUCACGCAUGCUACAAUGGCCGGUACAAAGGGCUGCAAUACCGUAAGGUGGAGCGAAUCCCAAAAAGCCGGUCCCAGUUCGGAUUGAGGUCUGCAACUCGACCUCAUGAAGUCGGAGUCGCUAGUAAUCGCAGAUCAGCAACGCUGCGGUGAAUACGUUCCCGGGUCUUGUACACACCGCCCGUCAAGUCAUGAAAGUCGGUAACACCUGAAGCCGGUGGCCCAACCCUUGUGAGGGAGCCGUCGAAGGUG